RNAcentral lists this ribosomal RNA (492 nucleotides) under uncultured bacterium. Its description in RNAcentral is "partial 16S ribosomal RNA". It matches the Rfam family "Bacterial small subunit ribosomal RNA", at positions 29 to 507 of the family's 1533-position model. The record is from RNAcentral.
AGUGAACGCUGGCGGUAGGCCUAACACAUGCAAGUCGAACGGCAGCACAGUAAGAGCUUGCUCUUACGGGUGGCGAGUGGCGGACGGGUGAGGAAUACAUCGGAAUCUACUUUUUCGUGGGGGAUAACGUAGGGAAACUUACGCUAAUACCUCAUACGACCUACGGGUGAAAGCAGGGGAUCUUCGGACCUUGCGCGAUUGAAUGAGCCGAUGUCGGAUUAGCUAGUUGGCGGGGUAAAGGCCCACCAAGGCGACGAUCCGUAGCUGGUCUGAGAGGAUGAUCAGCCACACUGGAACUGAGACACGGUCCAGACUCCUAUGGGAGGCAGCAGUGGGGAAUAUUGGACAAUGGGCGCAAGCCUGAUCCAGCCAUACCGCGUGGGUGAAGAAGGCCUUCGGGUUGUAAAGCCCUUUUGUUGGGAAAGAAAAGCAGCAGGUUAAUACCCCGCUGUUCUGACGGUACCCAAAGAAUAAGCACCGGCUAACUUCGUG